This 321-nucleotide ribosomal RNA is filed under the name Triticum aestivum (bread wheat). RNAcentral describes it as "partial small subunit ribosomal RNA". The record is from RNAcentral. Lineage: Eukaryota; Viridiplantae; Streptophyta; Magnoliopsida; Poales; Poaceae.
AUGGGAGAUCUAAAUGAGAUUCUGUACUCUUUUGAAAAGGAGGGUGGGAACGACCGACAAAUUCAUUUUAUGCAAGCUUUUAGGGAUGCUUUGGAGGACUGUCAGUUGGUUGAUCAUGUCUAUUUGGGCGAUAAAUUUACAUGGCAUAGAGGCCUUAUCAGAGAGCGACUAGACCGAGCCCUAAACACCUAGGCAUGGAGUUUGAAAUUUCCGAAUGCUACUCUAGAGCACUUGGAAUACUACAAGUCAGACCACAGACCGCUGCUUAUGAAUCUGGCUGAAGAGGAAAUCCAAGAAAAUAAUGUUGGAAAUGUGCCCUAG